AUGAAGAACUCCUGCUGCAGAAGGUGGGUGAAUUCCGGUACCAUAUGGAAUUUGUAGCAGUGACAAGCAGUGACUAGAACCCUAGGUCUAGUACUAGUGGGUAUAUAAUAUGCAGGCUGGUUGUCCCAAGUCACCAUCUGGAGGACUGGAGUGAGUUUCCAGAGGAACCGUCACAGAAAAGACCUUGUCGAGGCUCAGCUUGCACUUUCUCAAGCUCAGGCACACAAUGGAAGCAGGACAGCAAGGAGCAGAUUCCUACCUCCUAAAUCUUCUGUCCAUUAGUUCCCCCCCUUUGUUUACCUCUCCCAUUUUAUUGUAGUUUCUCACCAGUUGAACGAGGCAAUGAGGUCACUGUUUGGAGAUUAGGGUGCAGAAGUCAGCCUGAGUGUGAAGACAGAAACUAAUCAGGAAGGUUUGUCGGGGGAGAGGAGUGGGGGGACUGUACCUCAGUACAGGAUUAGUAAUGGUUGUACUGGGUGAGUUUAAAACCACCUUAAACUUCCCUUUCUUCAGUACUGUUGCACAAAGCAGUUGGGUCAAAACUUGACAGGAAGUGUUGUGCUGCCUGCUUUUGUUUAUUUUUUACAAGGAAAGAAGAAAAUUAGAAAAAAAAGGUCUUUUUUUUUUUUUCAAGUAAAUAAGAGAAGUAGAAAAAAAAAAGUCUUUUGCAGAGACAACAAAAGUUCGGAUAUUUGCUCUUCCUCCCUCCCUCCGUUCCUUCCUUCUGCACUUGCAGAUGCUGAUUUGUGGGUCCCUUUCUUUGCUGCCCAAGGAGCUAGAAAGUUUUAUGAACUGUUUUGCAGCCAGUCUAUGAGAAGUGAGUAGGGGGCAUCACUCUGGAGCAUUGAUGCUGGAAGAAGGAGACACUUUGAACAGGUGGGGAUAUCCAAUUUUGUUAGCUCCAGCUGAUAUCUGUGACCCAUGUCUGGUGUUGGUUCCAGAGCAAUGCACUGCUCUUGUGAUCCUGUCCCCUGUCACCCCCUCGCCUGGCCCAGCACUUGGAGGGGCUCCCUAGGUCCCUGAUAAUGUCCUUCACUGAGACCUUUCGUGGGGAACAGGAUUACCUUCAUACCAGCCUUUUAAUCUACAGAGCACAGGUGACUGCUGGAGAGCCAUGGGAUGUGCUGUCCACGUGGGCAUUCAGACAGGGUGCCUGGGCACAAACAGAGUGUGGGAUGUGUGUACAGCCAUGUGCUGGGUGCAGUAGGGUAUGGAGUACUGUGGUGUGAAAGAUUCAGAGGGGUGGAAAAGAAAGGAAGGAGGACAGGAAGUGAGCACGUGUUCAUUCCACAUGCAAGAUGUCCCAGAGGAUGCUGUUCUGUACUUCCCAGUCACAUCUGACCAUCCAGGAGCUGAGUCAGCCUGCCAGAGCACUCAUGCUGCCAGCAAGAGAGCUGCAGGCAGGUGCAUCUCGGGUUGAACGCACCGGUUGCAGGAGUCAGGUCUUCCCUGAGUGAAAGGUAAGUACCAAAGCAACAACACUUUGUUUUUGAUACAAAAUGUAGCAGCAGCAUGACCUGGCAUCCUCUGAAUGUGGUGGCCCCCGUACUGCAAGAAUGCCAGAAAUGUGUUUGCAACUGCUCCAAAAUUCCAGUCCACUUGUACAAAGACUGAGCCCUGCAUUGGUGGACAGGCUCAGAGAUCUCAAGUGACAAGUCCCCUCCUUAGGUCCAGCAAAAGCUGGCACUGGCAAGGGGGAAGGAGCCAUCACUGUCUCCUACUAAACAAGAAACUUCAGAGACUGCAGAAAAUUUGCAAAUUUUCUUGCAGAUUCUUGUAAAUUCUUGCAAAUCCAGCAAAAACUGGAUAAAAUGGUGCUCAGUUGCUCAGGUGCCAUGAUGUUGCAGCUGCUCUGUGUCCCAGAUCCUUGCUGGGACUGCAGUAGCACUGAAUAGUUGGUCUGACGUCCUGGCAGUGACUGUGAAGUGAAAAGGCUUUGGCAGACGAGUCCCCAGUUGCCCCAGUUUUCUCAGACUCAAAUAGGUUAUUGUCCUUCUUUCCUCUCUGAUGCUAACAAGUUUCCUCUAUAAAAACCCUUCCCCCUCUGAUGCUAGGGCACUGAUUUGAGAGCUUGCAAGACCACCAGAAAAGUGGUCUCCUGCUAAAUCACAGUCAGUGUUUUACAAACAGUUGCUUAUAUAGGAAAGGAGCAGAGCAAGUGGAGAGUGGGAGGACCGGGAACUGAGUGAAGUACCCUGAGGGAACGCCCCUUGGCCCAUGGUGAUGGAAAGGGAUAAUGGUUGCUGCAGGCUCUAGAAGGAAGAGCAAUAUUCACAUUAUUCCACUGGUAUCAUUUGUAGGAAGGAGUUCAGAGCUGCCAUGGUCAGGAGGCCCUCAGAGAAUGGAAACACCACUGAUCUUGGCAGUGAGUAAUCCCAAUGCCUCAGAAGCAAGGGAGUGACAUUAGUACUUCAGUAGCAAUUCCUGGUCAUUUUGGCAGCCACCAAAAUAUCUGCUUGUGAGGAACAGAAGGGCAGCAACCAUCUACUUUAAGCAGUAGCCACUGUGUAGCUGUCCAAACCCCUUUUGGGUUUUGCCUCAUCUUUCUGCAGGACUUCUUGAUCCAUGACACAGGACUGCUAAUUUUUCCAAUGUCAGGAGAUGACAGUGAGGAGAGGGGUUGCUCCACCUGAAGAAGUUGCAGAAAGGGACCAACUGGAGCUCUCACUCACUGACUUUCACUCUCACUUGUCCAGGCAGUGCAGUGUCAGGACAGAGCAAAAGACAGGGUGCAAAGCAGUGAAGGAGCCACCGUGUCGCUCAUUUAGUGAUUGCCAAACCCUCCUCUGGCUCUCCCGAAGAAGUUUUGUACUGAAAAAGCAUGGCCUGAAGGUGAGCCAGUGCAUAAGAGUUUUAUGGCCACCUUGCUUCCUCUAUCCACCCAUUCAUAUUUCCCCUACUGCAGUAUUGUCAACAUAUUAUCUCACUUAUUGCACAGGCUUGUAAAACCUCGAGCCUGAGCAGACACCCAUACGUGCUGCCCUUUUCUUUUUUCAUUCCCAUAUGUGAGUGACAAACCCCGUGGGUGGUGGGGGAAUCACGUACCGUGUGCAUGACUGUGUCAUAUUUACUGCUGCUGCCUCUCUCUCCUGUAGCCUUCACUGAAUAUUUUACUAGGGAGGAAGGGAGAGAGAGAGGGGCAAUAUUGCUGUAGCUUUCUGAUCUUUGUAUUUCACGUGAUUGUCCUGUAGCUACUGGCAUGCUCUGGAUUUGGAGUGUAUCUGUACUGGUGUCUGGCUCUUAUGCCAGUGGUGGCAAGUGUGCAGGUAUUCUCACUGUGCCAUGGGACUCAAGUGUGGUGUUUGGUCCACAUUGCCCACUCCAGUAGAUACACCUGUCGUCCCAUCCCUGCCCCCCAUUCUACUUGUUUCUACACCCAUUUAACAUGUUUAUGUCCAUUCAAGUAUUGGCAUGAAAAACCAUAGGCCCAGGUCAGUGCAAAGCUAUGCAAUUACUAAUGACUUUUCUUUUUUUUUUAAAUAGGGAUCAAAUUAAGCUACAGCAAUCCUUUAUUGCUAGUUAUGCAGCCAGGCCCAGAGGGGAACGGAGCAGCGUGCUCUACUUCCUGGGUGAAGUAAGGGUAACCCCAAUGACUGUGGGAACGUGGUAGAUCCUCAGAGACAGAGAUUGCAGAAGAUCUGCAGGAACCUGCAGAGAGGAGGAGGACCCUUCCUGUCCCUGCCCAGCUAGGGACUAGACUGCUUUGUAGGCAGCUGACAGGGCAGUUCAAGCAGUGCCAGGACUGACUUGAACACUGAUGUGGCAUUCCUGGAAGAAAGAGGCCCCCAAUCCCUCAACUCUUCUUUGAUGAAAUCUGUCCAAGAAAAAGAUGCAGGUAAUUUCCCCUCAGAGCCCUGCUGAGCUUUACAGGGCAAGAGCUCCUAAAAAGAUCAAACAUAAAAAUGC
Molecule: long non-coding RNA, 3906 nt
Organism: Corapipo altera (White-ruffed manakin)
Lineage: Eukaryota; Metazoa; Chordata; Aves; Passeriformes; Pipridae
Exons: 3
Source: RefSeq, a predicted model, not a curated record